GGGCCCGUGGCUCAAUGGUAGAGCAUUCGAUUCGAUAACCAAAUGUCGCGGGUUCUAAUCCUAUGCGGUCCA
This 72-nucleotide transfer RNA is filed under the name Schistocephalus solidus. It matches the Rfam family "tRNA". From Rfam's summary of the family: Transfer RNA (tRNA) molecules are approximately 80 nucleotides in length. Their secondary structure includes four short double-helical elements and three loops (D, anti-codon, and T loops). Further hydrogen bonds mediate the characteristic L-shaped molecular structure. tRNAs have two regions of fundamental functional importance: the anti-codon, which is responsible for specific mRNA codon recognition, and the 3' end, to which the tRNAs corresponding amino acid is attached (by aminoacyl-tRNA synthetases). tRNAs cope with the degeneracy of the genetic code in two manners: having more than one tRNA (with a specific anti-codon) for a particular amino acid; and 'wobble' base-pairing, i.e. permitting non-standard base-pairing at the 3rd anti-codon position. The record is from Rfam by way of RNAcentral. Lineage: Eukaryota; Metazoa; Platyhelminthes; Cestoda; Diphyllobothriidea; Diphyllobothriidae.